This 336-nucleotide ribosomal RNA is filed under the name Clostridium sp. T55E38. RNAcentral describes it as "bacterial SSU rRNA". It matches the Rfam family "Bacterial small subunit ribosomal RNA", at positions 56 to 388 of the family's 1533-position model. Lineage: Bacteria; Bacillati; Bacillota; Clostridia; Eubacteriales; Clostridiaceae. The record is from RNAcentral.
UGCAAGUCGAGCGAUGAAGUUUCCUUCGGGAAACGGAUUAGCGGCGGACGGGUGAGUAACACGUGGGUAACCUGCCUCAUAGAGGGGAAUAGCCUCCCGAAAGGGAGAUUAAUACCGCAUAACAUUGCAGUUUCGCAUGAAACAGCAAUUAAAGGAGCAAUCCGCUAUGAGAUGGACCCGCGGCGCAUUAGCUAGUUGGUAAGGUAAUGGCUUACCAAGGCGACGAUGCGUAGCCGACCUGAGAGGGUGAUCGGCCACAUUGGGACUGAGACACGGUCCAUACUCCUUCGGGAGGCAGUAGUGGGGAAUAUUGUACAAUGGGGGAAACCCUCGAUG